UUUGAACGCUGGCGGCAGGCCUAACACAUGCAAGUCGAGCGGUAUCACAAGAGAGCUUGCUCUCUGGGUGACGAGCGGCGGACGGGUGAGUAAUGUCUGGGAAACUGCCUGAUGGAGGGGGAUAACUACUGGAAACGGUAGCUAAUACCGCAUGACGUCUUCGGACCAAAGUGGGGGACCUUCGGGCCUCACGCCAUCAGAUGUGCCCAGAUGGGAUUAGCUAGUAGGUGGGGUAAUGGCUCACCUAGGCGACGAUCUCUAGCUGGUCUGAGAGGAUGACCAGCCACACUGGAACUGAGACACGGUCCAGACUCCUACGGGAGGCAGCAGUGGGGAAUAUUGCACAAUGGGCGCAAGCCUGAUGCAGCCAUGCCGCGUGUAUGAAGAAGGCCUUCGGGUUGUAAAGUACUUUCAGCGAGGAGGAAGGCAUUAAGGUUAAUAACCUUGGUGAUUGACGUUACUCGCAGAAGAAGCACCGGCUAACUCCGUGCCAGCAGCCGCGGUAAUACGGAGGGUGCAAGCGUUAAUCGGAAUUACUGGGCGUAAAGCGCACGCAGGCGGUUGAUUAAGUCAGAUGUGAAAUCCCCGAGCUUAACUUGGGAACUGCAUUUGAAACUGGUCAGCUAGAGUCUUGUAGAGGGGGGUAGAAUUCCAGGUGUAGCGGUGAAAAUGCGUAGAGAUCUGGAGGAAUACCGGUGGCGAAGGCGGCCCCCCUGGACAAAGACUGACGCUCAGGUGCGAAAGCGUGGGGAGCAAACAGGAUUAGAUACCCUGGUAGUCCACGCUGUAAACGAUAUCGACUUGGAGGUUGUGCCCUUGAGGCGUGGCUUCCGGAGCUAACGCGUUAAGUCGACCGCCUGGGGAGUACGGCCGCAAGGUUAAAACUCAAAUGAAUUGACGGGGGCCCGCACAAGCGGUGGAGCAUGUGGUUUAAUUCGAUGCAACGCGAAGAACCUUACCUACUCUUGACAUCCAGAGAAUUUGCUAGAGAUAGCUUAGUGCCUUCGGGAACUCUGAGACAGGUGCUGCAUGGCUGUCGUCAGCUCGUGUUGUGAAAUGUUGGGUUAAGUCCCGCAACGAGCGCAACCCUUAUCCUUUGUUGCCAGCACGUAAUGGUGGGAACUCAAAGGAGACUGCCGGUGAUAAACCGGAGGAAGGUGGGGAUGACGUCAAGUCAUCAUGGCCCUUACGAGUAGGGCUACACACGUGCUACAAUGGCAUAUACAAAGAGAAGCGAACUCGCGAGAGCAAGCGGACCUCAUAAAGUAUGUCGUAGUCCGGAUUGGAGUCUGCAACUCGACUCCAUGAAGUCGGAAUCGCUAGUAAUCGUAGAUCAGAAUGCUACGGUGAAUACGUUCCCGGGCCUUGUACACACCGCCCGCCACACCAUGGGAGUGGGUUGCAAAAGAAGUAGGUAGCUUAACCUUCGGGAGGGCGCCUACCACUUUGU
RNAcentral lists this ribosomal RNA (1450 nucleotides) under uncultured organism. RNAcentral describes it as "SSU rRNA". It matches the Rfam family "Bacterial small subunit ribosomal RNA". The record is from RNAcentral.